UUGCGAGUGAAGCGGCAACAGCUCAAAUUUGAAAUCUGGCUCCUUCGGGGUCCGAGUUGUAAUUUGUAGAGGGUGCUUCGGGCGCGAUGCCGGUCUAAGUUCCUUGGAACAGGACGUCGUAGAGGGUGAGAAUCCCGUAUGUGACCGGCGAUCAAGCCCGUGCGAAGCCCCUUCGACGAGUCGAGUUGUUUGGGAAUGCAGCUCAAAACGGGUGGUAAAUUUCAUCUAAAGCUAAAUAUUGGCCAGAGACCGAUAGCGGACAAGUAGAGUGAUCGAAAGAUGAAAAGCACUUUGGAAAGAGAGUCAAACAGUACGUGAAAUUGUUGAAAGGGAAGCGCUUGCAAUCAGACCGGUCCGGAGGCGAUCAGCCGCUGCUCGUCAGCGGUGCACUCGCCUGCGAUCCGGCCAGCAUCGGUUUGGGCGGCGGGAUAAAAGUCCCGGGAAUGUAGCUUCUCUCGGGGAGUCUUAUAGCCCGGGUCGCAAUGCCGCCCGCCCGGACCGAGGACC
RNAcentral lists this ribosomal RNA (507 nucleotides) under Sticta sp. TW-2018n. Its description in RNAcentral is "eukaryotic LSU rRNA". It matches the Rfam family "Eukaryotic large subunit ribosomal RNA", at positions 87 to 596 of the family's 3401-position model. The record is from RNAcentral. Lineage: Eukaryota; Fungi; Ascomycota; Lecanoromycetes; Peltigerales; Lobariaceae.